GACGAACGCUGGCGGCGUGCUUAACACAUGCAAGUCGAACGGUGAAGCUCCAGCUUGCUGGAGUGGAUCAGUGGCGAACGGGUGAGUAACACGUGAGCAACCUGCCCCUGACUCUGGAAUAAGCGCUGAAAACGGCGUCUAAUACUGGAUACGAGAAGGGUCCGCAUGGGCACUUUCUGGAAAGUUUUUCGGUUGGGGAUGGGCUCGCGGCCUAUCAGCUUGUUGGUGAGGUAAUGGCUCACCAAGGCGACGACGGGUAGCCGGCCUGAGAGGGCGACCGGCCACAGGGGGAUGGGGAAGGGGCCAGGGCCCCAUGGGGGGGAAGAGGGGGGAAUUUUUCAAAAAGGGGGGAAGGCGGGAGGGAGCGCCGCCGGGGGGGGGAGGACGGCCUUCGGGUUGUAAACCCUUUUCGGGAGGAAAGAAGGGAAAGGGAGGGUCCCGGCAAAAAAAGCACCGGCAAACUACGG
This 467-nucleotide ribosomal RNA is filed under the name uncultured bacterium. RNAcentral describes it as "partial 16S ribosomal RNA". It matches the Rfam family "Bacterial small subunit ribosomal RNA", at positions 28 to 506 of the family's 1533-position model. The record is from RNAcentral.